Long non-coding RNA from Dreissena polymorpha, 506 nucleotides. RefSeq lists it as uncharacterized. NCBI's taxonomy places the organism in Eukaryota, Metazoa, Mollusca, Bivalvia, Myida, Dreissenidae. The record is from RefSeq and is a predicted model, not a curated record. The transcript has 3 exons.
GACUUAAACGGUGCGAUAGUAAAAAGUUUGUUUUAAGAAGGUCAAACAGUUUGCCCAAGUUUUUCCUUCUUUAAAUCGUUUAACCAUGGCAAAAGCAUUAAAACUCAUCGGACAAACAACAACACCUAAAUAUGUACAAUACCUCCGUCUUGUUGCAAGCCCUAAAGUCAUGCAAAACGUAGCGCAUGCCACUAAUACUGGCAGGAAGGUGGCACUGUCAGCAGUGACGUUUGGAGCAACAUUAGGAUGUCUUGCCUUGUACAUCUCUGAGUAUAGACCAGUGAUGGAAGCGAUACCUAUUUAUGGAAGGAAGUACAAGGCAGAACCUAUUGAACCAAUUGAUUAAAAAAAGCCUAUUUGAGAAAAAGAUCAUCUUCAAGAGAAAACAAAAUGAGCAGAAAGACAGUGUAUUUUGGAGACAAACUAUUGACUGAAUAUUACUUUGUUUAAUAAGUAAGUUUUGCUUGCAAAUGUAUUUACUAAAUGUUUAUUAAAUGUAAAUAACA